RNAcentral lists this ribosomal RNA (565 nucleotides) under Palythoa mutuki. RNAcentral describes it as "eukaryotic LSU rRNA". The stretch from base 229 to 382 matches the Rfam family "5.8S ribosomal RNA". The record is from RNAcentral. Lineage: Eukaryota; Metazoa; Cnidaria; Anthozoa; Zoantharia; Sphenopidae.
CGCCCGGUGCGAGAAUUUAGAAGGGCUUCUUUGGGGUAGACACCUGUCUUUAAAUGUCGUCGCACGUCUCUCGCAAAAGGUUUUCCUUUCUAGUACCUCGACCCCGUGUCGUUGGGUCGUACGCGGAACGAAAGGAAUUUACCGAGAGAGAGACUGCCACCCGGCCCCGUUUUUUUUUCGUCAACGUGCUUGCGACUGUACCGUAUGGAGAAAGGAAAAACGAGAGACAACUUUUAACGGUGGAUCUCUUGGCUCGUGCAUCGAUGAAGAACGCAGCCAGCUGCGAUAAGUAGUGUGAAUUGCAGAAUUCAGUGAAUCAUCGAAUCUUUGAACGCAAAUGGCGCUCUCGGGUUCUCCCGGGAGCACGUCCGUCUGAGUGUCGGCAUACAUAUCAUAUCGCACGAACGUGCGGCGUUGAGGCGUCGCGGCGUCCUUGCCGCGUCCCUCGAAAUGCAGGAGAACCGCCGUGUAAGCGAUCCUCGGAGGCUUAAGACAAGUUGGUUCCCCAAGAGCGAUCGGCAGCAACCGGUUUUACAAUAAGUGACCUCAUCGAAUCUCGACCUCA